Molecule: transfer RNA, 73 nt
Filed under: Ixodes scapularis (black-legged tick)
Lineage: Eukaryota; Metazoa; Arthropoda; Arachnida; Ixodida; Ixodidae
Rfam family: tRNA
About the family: Transfer RNA (tRNA) molecules are approximately 80 nucleotides in length.
Source: Rfam by way of RNAcentral
UCCUGGUUAGCUUAGUUGACAGAGCGCUCCACUGAAAAUGGAGAGGUCCCUGGUUCAAUACCGGGAUCAGGCU